This 845-nucleotide non-coding RNA is filed under the name Aristeus virilis. The record is from RNAcentral. Lineage: Eukaryota; Metazoa; Arthropoda; Malacostraca; Decapoda; Aristeidae.
AGUAAAGUUUUAUCCUGGCUUAUUCUCUUAUUUUCAGGUUGAAGGUACAUGUAAGGUCUCACGGGCCAAAGUAUUAGAAGUUAUUAAAUAUUCUUUCAAAUAAUGUUUUAAGGUUUCUUAUAAUAAGAUAAUUCUCAGUACCUAGUGCUAAUUAUAAAUGCAAGUUAGAAUUGGCAAUCUUGAUUAUUAGUGUCCGGCGAAAUUUUGUGCCAGCAGCCGCGGUUAUACUAAGGGGCAAAUUAAGAGAAGAUUGGUUAAAAAUAGUUAAGUGAAAGCUUAUUUACCAUUAAAGUCUGUACUAAUAAAGGGUGAAAUCGAUUUUUUAGUGGGUAGAUUGUUUGGGGGUGAGCUAAUUCUGAAGCUGUUAAGGUGAAGGUAUGGACCAGGAUUAGAUACCCUGUUACUCUUUACUUUAAAUGAAAAUACCUGGGUAUUAAACAGUUAUUGUCUUGAAACUCAAAGGAUUUGGCGGUAAUCUAGUCUAUUUAGAGGAACCUGUCCUGUAAUCGAUAAACCACGCAGAAUCUUACCUUAUUUUGUAAAUUCAGUUUGUAUACCGUCAUUAUUAGGUAACUCUAAAAAGAAUCAGUUACUGUAAUAAGUUUUUCUUAGUAUAUUAGAUCAAGGUGCAGCUAAUAGUAAGGUAGAGAUGGGUUACAAUAUGAUAGAUAUAAACGGAUUAAAAAGUUAUAGCUUUUUAUUAAGGUGGAUUUAAUAGUAGGGAAGUUUUAAUAAGGCUUUUCGAUUCUAGCUCUAGGUUAUGUACACAUCGCCCGUCGCUCUCGUUAAUUAAAGCGAGAUAAGUCGUAACAUAGUAGGUGUACUGGAAAGUGUACCUAGAAAUU